CCUACGGGUGGCAGCAGUGAGGAAUAUUGGUCAAUGGACGAGAGUCUGAACCAGCCAAGCCGCGUGAAGGAUGACUGCCUUAUGGGUUGUAACCUUUUUUUAUAUGGGAAUAAAAUGUUCCACCUGAGGGAUUUUGUUUGUACCAUAUGUAUAAAGAUCGGCUAACUCCGUGCCAGCAGCCGCGGUAAUACGGAGGUUCCGGGCGUUAGCCGGAUUUAUUGGGUUUAAAGGGAGCGUAGGUGGAGUGGUAAGUCAGUUGUGAAAGUUUGCGGCUCAACCGUAAAAUUGCAGUUGAAACUGGCAGACUUGAGUACAGGAGAGGUGGGCGGAAUUCGUGGUGUAGCGGUGAAAGGCUUAGAUAUCACGAAGAACUCC
This 375-nucleotide ribosomal RNA is filed under the name uncultured bacterium. Its description in RNAcentral is "partial 16S ribosomal RNA". It matches the Rfam family "Bacterial small subunit ribosomal RNA", at positions 338 to 710 of the family's 1533-position model. The record is from RNAcentral.